RNAcentral lists this non-coding RNA (21 nucleotides) under Caenorhabditis elegans. Lineage: Eukaryota; Metazoa; Nematoda; Chromadorea; Rhabditida; Rhabditidae. The record is from RNAcentral.
UCAUAUCACAUUUAUGACAAA